AGAACUGUCCCACCACCACUAUCAAACACCAUAACCCCCAAACCUCCAACCAAACAACCACCAUCUCCUACCAAACAACCCUAGAUUUGCACCUCCAUAACCAAACCAACAAACUCAGAUCCCCUGAACAAUAAUUACCCUAAAACCCAUCAACGAUGCAAACCUACAAACACAUAUCUUCCUUCUCUCUCUCUUAGAUUUGCGCUUUCUCUCUCUUAGAUCCACGUUUUCUCUCGCUCAGAUCGGUCGCUCUCUAAAAUUUGCACACUCUCUCUCAGAUGUGCUAUCUCUCGCUAAGAUCUGCGCUAUCCUACCUCUUCCACCAUGUUGUCAUCAGCGUGUCCCCAACAGGAUUAGUCCCCUGGAGCACCUGACCACCACAACAUCGUCGUCUCCUUUGAAUGUCGCUUAUUG
RNAcentral lists this long non-coding RNA (414 nucleotides) under Glycine max (soybean). Its description in RNAcentral is "long non-coding RNA (GMAX_LNC000503)". Lineage: Eukaryota; Viridiplantae; Streptophyta; Magnoliopsida; Fabales; Fabaceae. The record is from RNAcentral.